Molecule: ribosomal RNA, 450 nt
Filed under: uncultured bacterium
Lineage: Bacteria
Description: partial 16S ribosomal RNA
Rfam family: Bacterial small subunit ribosomal RNA
Source: RNAcentral
GUGGGGAAUAUUGGACAAUGGGCGAAAGCCUGAUCCAGCCAUGCCGCGUGUGUGAAGAAGGUCUUCGGAUUGUAAAGCACUUUAAGUUGGGAGGAAGGGCAGUAAGUUAAUACCUUGCUGUUUUGACGUUACCGACAGAAUAAGCACCGGCUAACUUCGUGCCAGCAGCCGCGGUAAUACGAAGGGUGCAAGCGUUAAUCGGUAUUACUGGGCGUAAAGCGCGCGUAGGUGGUUUUGUAAGUUGGAGGUGAAAUCCCCGGGCUCAACCUGGGAACUGCCUCCAAAACUGCAUGACUAGAGUACGGUAGAGGGUAGUGGAAUUUCCUGUGUAGCGGUGAAAUGCGUAGAUAUAGGAAGGAACACCAGUGGCGAAGGCGACUACCUGGACUGAUACUGACACUGAGGUGCGAAAGCGUGGGGAGCAAACAGGAUUAGAAACCCGGGUAGUCC